This 29-nucleotide non-coding RNA is filed under the name Homo sapiens (human). The record is from RNAcentral. Lineage: Eukaryota; Metazoa; Chordata; Mammalia; Primates; Hominidae.
UCUGCGAUGUUGAUGGCCCUCAUGGCUGC